Molecule: long non-coding RNA, 1107 nt
Organism: Betta splendens (Siamese fighting fish)
Lineage: Eukaryota; Metazoa; Chordata; Actinopteri; Anabantiformes; Osphronemidae
Exons: 2
Source: RefSeq, a predicted model, not a curated record
AGCGGGUUGAGGGCAAAACAAAAAACAACAAAAAAAAACAGACAGAUUGUGCGCCAACACACGUAGGCUGACUGCGUGAGUUUUCGCUUGCUGCCUCCGUUUCUGCGCAAACUCUGCGCACACACGUCCUCCCGCCGCCCCCCCCCCCCCCCCACUCGCCCCAAGUUUCACUUUUACGAAGGCUGAGCCAUCGAAUUCUAGUCUAGUAUAAAUUAUUCGGGCAAACAGCACGCUCAGUCGGCCGUGUCGUCCGAACCGAGCACGGAUCACUUAGCGCCAGACCCACGGGGUCCCGUUUCCUCUGUCUGGGCGUGGGACCAGGCUAUUUUUAGGGAGAACACAUCAAGGCACAUUGCUACUAGACCUCAUAAAUGCCACAGACGGAUCACAGAGAGGCUGCAGUUGGAUCUGAUUACCAGCGCCCGUGUUUUCCCCUCUUCUUUCUGUGUCAGCGGUACCAAGUUGCGGACGAGGCACUGAUGCCCGGCUCAGACCGGGGCCACACCGGCUGCAGAUGGUGGUGGAGGCGGUGGCAGAGCUGUGGCCUGAGCUGCUACUAAAAUCCAUCUGGACUGUUCAGAAGAAAACCAGCAUAGUGGUGAUCAGUGACUCUGCUGCUCCAGUCAAACGAGAGCAAACGACGACGAUGACUCACGGCCACAACGCCACUAAUUCCACAUCAGGAGUUUCCACUGUAUUUUGAUCAGCGCUGGGGAAAUCUACAGGUCUGCUGAACUGUCCCAUUGUCAGACGGGAGCAUUGUUCGUUUCUGGGGAACUGUACAGAACUUUCUGUUGAGCAAAAGCUGUGUUAUAAUCACUGGUCAGAGCAAACUCUUACAGGUGUUGACACUUUGAUUCUGUUACACUCACCGUUUCAUACCGGUUUGUUUUAGGUAUCUGAACGCCCUUUUAUUUAAUGCUCAGAGUUAUCUACAGUUAGAGUUCUUCUAUUUCAUAAUCGGAAAAUACUGAUGGUCAAUCUUUAAUUUUUUUCCAUAUGGAUCUUUUUACUAGAUAAAAAUGUUCUUUUUCUAAUGACAAAGCAGAUGUGGAGAAGUAGGAGAGAAACUAAACAGAAAUUAAACCCAACAGCAAAAAACAGCGA